UCUUUCGGCUAUAUCACACUGAACAUGCCCAGUCCCAUAUGAUCUCGGAAGCCAAGAAGGAUUGGGCCUGGUUAGUACUUAGAUGGGAGAAAACUUCCCUGCCAAAAACC
RNAcentral lists this ribosomal RNA (110 nucleotides) under Otolemur garnettii (small-eared galago). The record is from RNAcentral. Lineage: Eukaryota; Metazoa; Chordata; Mammalia; Primates; Galagidae.